This 124-nucleotide ribosomal RNA is filed under the name uncultured bacterium. RNAcentral describes it as "partial 16S ribosomal RNA". It matches the Rfam family "Bacterial small subunit ribosomal RNA", at positions 230 to 354 of the family's 1533-position model. The record is from RNAcentral.
CCCGCGUCUGAUUAGCUGUUGGCGGGGUAGGGCCCACCAAAGGCGACGAUCAGUAGCCGGCCUGAGAGGGUGAACGGCCACAUUGGGACUGAGACACGGCCCAAACUCCUACGGAAGGCAGCAG